Molecule: transfer RNA, 70 nt
Filed under: Elachura formosa (spotted wren-babbler)
Lineage: Eukaryota; Metazoa; Chordata; Aves; Passeriformes; Elachuridae
Description: tRNA-Lys
Source: RNAcentral
CAUUAAGAAGCUAUGGAACAGCACUAGCCUUUUAAGCUAGAAAGAGGGAGGAACCGCCUCCCCUUAAUGA